RNAcentral lists this ribosomal RNA (784 nucleotides) under uncultured fungus. Its description in RNAcentral is "eukaryotic LSU rRNA". It matches the Rfam family "Eukaryotic large subunit ribosomal RNA", at positions 24 to 664 of the family's 3401-position model. The record is from RNAcentral. Lineage: Eukaryota; Fungi.
CCCGCUGAACUUAAGCAUAUCAAUAAGCGGAGGAAAAGAAACUAACAAGGAUUCCCCUAGUAACGGCGAGUGAAGCGGGAUGAGCUCAAAUUUAAAAUCUGGCUGGUUUACUAGUCCGAAUUGUAGUUUAAAGAAGCGUUUUCGGUGGCAGCCUGGGUAUAAAUCCUUUGGAACAGGGUAUCAUAGAGGGUGAGAAUCCCGUCUUUGACUCAGUGCAUGCUACUAUGUGAUACGUUUUCAAAGAGUCGAGUUGUUUGGGAAUGCAGCUCAAAAUGGGUGGUAAAUUUCAUCUAAAGCUAAAUAUUGGCGAGAGACCGAUAGCGAACAAGUACCGUGAGGGAAAGAUGAAAAGAACUUUGAAAAGAGAGUUAAACAGUGCGUGAAAUUGUUGAAAGGGAAACGCUUGACACCAGUCAUGCGAGCGGAAAAUCAGUCUUUUGCGGUGGGGAGAUGUGUGGGUUCGGACCGCAAGGCCGGCCUGCGCUUCAUCUCUGCCGUAAGUGAUGCACUUUUUCGUUUGCAGGCCAACAUCAGUUUCUUCUGCUGGACAAAACUCUUGAGAAGGUAGCAGCUUAGGCUGUGUUAUAGCUCUUGAGCGAUACAGUGGAGGAGACUGAGGUUUUCGCAGCGCGUGCUCUCGGGCAAGGCUGAUUGGGUGCUAUGGGAUCGUUCGGUGUACAAUGCAUGCAUUUUGCGCCGUGUCUUUUCUAUACUCGCUCAACUCGGCUCUUCCGCGCUUAGGAUGUUGGCUUAAUGGUUUUAAUCGACCCGUCUUGAAACACGG